This 324-nucleotide ribosomal RNA is filed under the name uncultured eukaryote. RNAcentral describes it as "partial 18S ribosomal RNA". It matches the Rfam family "Eukaryotic small subunit ribosomal RNA", at positions 1470 to 1796 of the family's 1831-position model. The record is from RNAcentral.
CCCUUAGAUGUUCUGGGCCGCACGCGCGCUACACUGAUGCAUUCAACGAGUUUCUUCCUGGUCCGAGAGGAAUGGGUAACCUUUUGAAAGUGCAUCGUGAUAGGGAUAGACCAUUGCAAUUAUUGGUCUUCAACGAGGAAUUCCUAGUAGACGUAGUUCAUCAGACUGCAUCGAUUACGUCCCUGCCCUUUGUACACACCGCCCGUCGCUCCUACCGAUUGAAUGCUCAGGUGAGCCAUUCGGACUUUCAUCAUGCUGGUUUCCAGUUUUGAUGAAGGAAAGUCUUGCGAACCUUACCAUUUAGAGGAAGGAGAAGUCGUAACA